UCAUCGGCUUCGGCAACUUUGCUUUUGGUUUCUUCAUGAUGAAUCUGAGGAUUGUUGAGUUUUAAGGCAAAAAGUGAGGUCAGAACUUGACGUUGAAGAUCCCCAGUUUAUGAGGAAUUCAUCGCCUGUUGAGAACAGCCAUGCCGCUUGCCAUUGCUGUGGAGGUUCUUUUGGUGUAGCUGUUCCUACAACUUUCUCUGUACUAGAUGGUAACGAUUAAGGAAACAACGUUUAAAUUAGAUUGCACAUAGUGUAAAACCCUAGUAUCAGAUGUUUGAAUAUGAAUUUAGAAUGAAUGAAACAAAGAAGCAGAAUAAGCAACA
Gossypium arboreum is the source of this 323-nucleotide long non-coding RNA. RefSeq lists it as uncharacterized. The record is from RefSeq and is a predicted model, not a curated record. NCBI's taxonomy places the organism in Eukaryota, Viridiplantae, Streptophyta, Magnoliopsida, Malvales, Malvaceae. The transcript has 2 exons.